ACUACAAGUGAAAAACUUAAAACUCAAAGGACUUGACGGUGUCCCAUAUCGACCUAGAGGAGCCUGUCCUAUAAUCGAUACCCCCCGCUCCACCCGACCCCAACUAGCAUACAUCAGCCUAUAUACCGCCGUCGAUCAGCCUACCCUAUGAAAGUCCAACAGUAGACACAAUAGCCCCACCGCUAAUACGUCAGGUCAAGGUGUAGCAAAUGUUGUGGAAGAGAUUGGCUACAUUUUUUAUUAUAAAAAAUACGAAAUAUACCAUGAAACAGUAUAUGAAGGUGAAUUUAGUAGUAAAAUAAACAAGAGUGUUUAUUUUAACAACGCUCUGGGACGCGUACACACCGCC
Molecule: ribosomal RNA, 349 nt
Filed under: Darevskia valentini
Lineage: Eukaryota; Metazoa; Chordata; Lepidosauria; Squamata; Lacertidae
Also listed under: 1 other name
Description: partial 12S ribosomal RNA
Source: RNAcentral